GGUUGAUGGUGGUUUCACAAAACUGAGGUUUAGGGGUACCGGCGACCUAGUGGAGGUAGUGAGACAUGGAAUAGGAGGUUGGAGGAGCUUUGCAGCACAAGCUGGGCCACUGAGGAGAGCUGGUUGGAGAGAAGAUUGUAGAUGUGCUGAUACUUGCUCCAUGACAGAAGAAAGGAACAUUUGAUCUGGGGGAAUAAAUGAUAAAUAAAACACUUGCAC
This is a long non-coding RNA of Xyrauchen texanus (razorback sucker), 219 nucleotides long. RefSeq lists it as uncharacterized. The record is from RefSeq and is a predicted model, not a curated record. The transcript is spliced from 2 exons. NCBI's taxonomy places the organism in Eukaryota, Metazoa, Chordata, Actinopteri, Cypriniformes, Catostomidae.